GGCGGCCAUCUUGCUCCACACCAGUGGAGAGCGUGUGCUUGCCAGUGACCCUUCACAGCAUGGGACUGAAUUCCCCUGGCUGCUCCGACAGAAGCGAUGGAUGUCACCGACUCACCCGUGAUUACACAGUAAUCUGACCCCAACAGGUUCU
Molecule: long non-coding RNA, 151 nt
Organism: Rana temporaria (common frog)
Lineage: Eukaryota; Metazoa; Chordata; Amphibia; Anura; Ranidae
Exons: 3
Source: RefSeq, a predicted model, not a curated record